GCUUAGAUGUGACAUCCUUAAAA
This 23-nucleotide microRNA is filed under the name Triticum aestivum (bread wheat). RNAcentral's name for it is "tae-miR1138". The record is from miRBase by way of RNAcentral. Lineage: Eukaryota; Viridiplantae; Streptophyta; Magnoliopsida; Poales; Poaceae.